GCUGGGUGCAUUGGCGCAUGCCUGUAAUCCCAGUGACUCAGGAAGCUGAGGCAGGAGAAUCACAAGUUCAAGACCAGCCUCAGCAAAUUAGCAAGGUUCUAAGUAACUUAGCGAGACCCUGUCUCUA
RNAcentral lists this small RNA (127 nucleotides) under Marmota monax (woodchuck). The record is from RNAcentral. Lineage: Eukaryota; Metazoa; Chordata; Mammalia; Rodentia; Sciuridae.